UGUCAGAAUUGAGUAUAGGGGCGAAAGACCAAUCGAACCAUCUAGUAGCUGGUUCCCUCCGAAGUUUCCCUCAGGAUAGCUGGUGCAUUAUAAUAUUAUGUUAAAUAAUCUUAUCUGGUAAAGCGAAUGAUUAGAGGCCUUAGGGUCGAAACGACCUUAACCUAUUCUCAAACUUUAAAUGGGUAAGAACCUCACCUUUCUUGAUAUGAAGGUUGAGGUUAUGAUAUAAUGUGCCCAGUGGGCCACUUUUGGUAAGCAGAACUGGCGCUGUGGGAUGAACCAAACGUAAUGUUACGGUGCCUAAAUUAACAACUCAUGCAGAUACCAUGAAAGGCGUUGGUUGCUUAAAACAGCAGGACGGUGGACAUGGAAGUCGUAAUCCGCUAAGGAGUGUGUAACAACUCACCUGCCGAAGCAACUAGCCCUUAAAAUGGAUGGCGCUUAAGUUGUAUACCUAUACAUUACCGCUAAAGUAGAUGAUUUAUAAUACAAUUUCGAUUGAAUUAUAAAUUUUGAAACUUUAGUGAGUAGGAGGGUACAAUGGUGUGCUUAGAAGUGUUUGGCGUAAGCCUGCAUGGAGCCGCUAUUGGUACAGAUCUUGGUGGUAGUAGCAAAUAAUCGAAUGAGACCUUGGAGGACUGAAGUGGAGAAGGGUUUCGUGUGAACAGUGGUUGAUCACGAGUUAGUCGGUCCUAAGUUCAAGGCGAAAGCCGAAAAUUUUCAAGUUUUAAUGC
Molecule: ribosomal RNA, 734 nt
Filed under: Tephritis kogardtauica
Lineage: Eukaryota; Metazoa; Arthropoda; Insecta; Diptera; Tephritidae
Description: partial large subunit ribosomal RNA
Rfam family: Eukaryotic large subunit ribosomal RNA
Source: RNAcentral